CAAUAGCGUAUAUUAAAGUUGUUGCGGUAAAAAAGCUCGUAGUUGGAUUUCUGUUGAGAGCGACCGGUCCAUACCAUGUAUGCGUAUCUGGCUUGCUCUCGGCAUCCUCUCGAUAGACGUUACUGCGCUUGAUUGCGUGGUGCGGAUCUCGGGACUUUUACUUUGAGGAAAUUAGAGUGUUCACGGCAGGCUUUCGCCAGAAUACAUUAGCAUGGAAUAAUACUAUAGGAUCUUGGUUCUAUUUUGUUGGUUUCUAGAAUUGAGAUAAUGAUUAAUAGGGACAAUUGGGGGCAUUCGUAUCAACACGUCAGAGGUGGAAUUCUUGGAUUGUGUUGCGACGAACUACUGCGAAAGCAUUUGCCAAGGAUGAUUUCAUUGA
This 379-nucleotide ribosomal RNA is filed under the name uncultured eukaryote. RNAcentral describes it as "partial 18S ribosomal RNA". It matches the Rfam family "Eukaryotic small subunit ribosomal RNA", at positions 592 to 976 of the family's 1831-position model. The record is from RNAcentral.